This 338-nucleotide long non-coding RNA is filed under the name Zostera marina. RNAcentral describes it as "long non-coding RNA (ZMAR_LNC005328)". Lineage: Eukaryota; Viridiplantae; Streptophyta; Magnoliopsida; Alismatales; Zosteraceae. The record is from RNAcentral.
CAAAAAAUACCAAAGUUAUCGAAAUAAUCAGCAGUCAUUACAACCGUCCUCACUUUAAAUUCAUCUCAGAGUGGAAAGGAUUGGAAUAUCACCCAAUUUAUCUUGAUGGAUCAUAUGCACCACCUUCUUUAGUUAUUGACGAGCUUAGAAGCAUAUUGCAAAGUCUUGGUUGUUGACUGCAACCCAAUUUAUCUUGAUGGGAUCCAUAUGCACCACCUUCUUUAAUAUGUUGAUGAGCUUAGAAGCAUAUGGCUUAGUCUUCGUUGACUGACCAUUGGCUUGAUGGAGAUUAAGCAUUUUCAGUUGACGAUUCCUGCUUGGUUUUAUCCCAACCUUUC